This 482-nucleotide ribosomal RNA is filed under the name uncultured bacterium. Its description in RNAcentral is "partial 16S ribosomal RNA". It matches the Rfam family "Bacterial small subunit ribosomal RNA", at positions 29 to 507 of the family's 1533-position model. The record is from RNAcentral.
AUUGAACGCUGGCGGCAUGCCUUACACAUGCAAGUCGAACGGUAACGGGCCUUCGGGUGCCGGCGAGUGGCGGACGGGCGAGUAAUACAUCGGAACGUGCCCGAUCGUGGGGGAUAACGAGGCGAAAGCUUUGCUAAUACCGCAUACGAUCUACGGAUGAAAGCAGGGGACCGCAAGGCCUUGCGCGGACGGAGCGGCCGAGGGCCGCUUAGGUAGUUGGUGGGAUAAAAGCUUAGCAAGCCGAAGAUCUGUAGCUGGACUGAGAGGAUGAUCGGCCACACUGGGACUGGGACACGGCCCAGGCUCCUACGGGAGGCAGCAGUGGGGAAUGUUGGACAAUGGUCGGAAGCCUGAUCCAGCCAUGCCGCGUGCAGGAUGAAGGCCUUCGGGUUGUAAACUGCUUUUGUACGGAACGAAAAGCCUUCUUUUAAUACAGGAGGGUCAUGACGGUACCGGAAGAAUAAGCACCGGCUAACUACGUG